Molecule: ribosomal RNA, 497 nt
Filed under: uncultured bacterium
Lineage: Bacteria
Description: partial 16S ribosomal RNA
Rfam family: Bacterial small subunit ribosomal RNA
Source: RNAcentral
GAUGAACGCUGGCGGCGUGCUUAACACAUGCAAGUCGAACGAAGCACCUUAUUCUGAUUUCUUCGGAAUGCAAAAUGUGGUGACUGAGUGGCGGACGGGUGAGUAACGCGUGGGUAACCUGCCUCAUACAGGGGGAUAGCAGACAGAAAUGACUGCUAAUACCGCAGAAUACCACAGCACCGCAUGGUGCAGGGGUAAAAACUCCGGUGGUAUGAGAUGGACCCGCGUCUGAUUAGGUAGUUGGUGGGGUAACGGCCUACCAGGCCGACGAUCAGUAGCCGACCUGAAGGGGUGGCCGGACACAUUGGGACUGAGACACGGCCCAAACUCCUGCGGGAGGCAGCAGUGGGGAAUAUUGCACAAUGGGGGAAACCCUGAUGCGGCGACGCCGCGUGAGCGAUGAAGUAUUUCGGUAUGUAAAGCUCUAUCAGCAGGGAAGAAAAUGACGGUACCUGACUAAGAAGCACCGGCUAAAUACGUGCCAGCCGCCGCCGUAA